CUUCUUCUCCGAAAGUUUCACAUACUGGAUUUUGCUCUUGGCGAGCUAGCUAACAAUGUCACGACGUUCGGCGGUUCUUAAUGGACCUAACUAAAACGCCCAAUAAAUUUUAAACCCAUUAAUGUCUAUCCCUUUGUGUCGUAAGUCCACGUUUCUCCACCAUUCUUUCAUCAUCAUCGUCAAGCAAUGUUUAUUAAUAUUAUGAGCUACUUCCACAAGACGUCUUUGUUAGUAAAGAAAUGGGAAGUCGUGCAGUAUGUAUACAACGUGUGGCACCACCGUUUUUUGAAGCCUGGCAAGUGAAGAAGAUAAAAACAGUUGGUUCCUUUUUUGUGAAUACUAGUGUUAAGAGAAGAAGAAGCACUAGUGUGAGAUGUAGCAGCAUAGCUACAUGGGGAAGAAGAUGACGAUAAAAUUAGGGAUUUCGAAAUUGAAUUGGGGAUUUUGUUGUUUCAUUUUAAAUAAAACGACGUCGUUUUCGCUAUUAACAGAAAUAAUUAACGUCUGCUAACGGCGGUUAUCGGAUCCAUUAAUGCCAGUUAACGUCUCGGGGAUUUUGGCCUGGUCAACAUUUUGAUUUGUGUUAAAUGGCGG
RNAcentral lists this small RNA (594 nucleotides) under Arabidopsis thaliana (thale cress). RNAcentral describes it as "putative long intergenic non-coding RNA". The record is from RNAcentral. Lineage: Eukaryota; Viridiplantae; Streptophyta; Magnoliopsida; Brassicales; Brassicaceae.